This 264-nucleotide long non-coding RNA is filed under the name Corvus moneduloides (New Caledonian crow). RNAcentral describes it as "lncRNA (ENSCMUG00000020075.1)". The record is from RNAcentral. Lineage: Eukaryota; Metazoa; Chordata; Aves; Passeriformes; Corvidae.
AUGCUGGAGAUCUACACUUUGAAUAGUGAAUGGCCUGAGAAAAGGAAGCAUUUCCAGGUGCAACAGAAGGAGGACUUCACAUUUGGAAAGACUGCCUUUCCUGCUGAACUCCAAAGGGGCAACAACAGCAGUCAUUGUCAAGGAAAGUUUUGGAACAUCACAAGCAGUGUGACCCUUCUUCUGGGUAAAACCUUUGAGGAAAAGGAAGCUGGAUCGUGUAGCAGGCUGGGUACCAGAAGCAGUAUAGCUGACCUCGCACAUUAG